RNAcentral lists this unclassified non-coding RNA (1360 nucleotides) under Zea mays. Its description in RNAcentral is "misc RNA Zm00001eb134590". The record is from RNAcentral. Lineage: Eukaryota; Viridiplantae; Streptophyta; Magnoliopsida; Poales; Poaceae.
UCUUCUUCUCUGCGCUAUCCUCUCUCUCUCUCUCCCGGCGCUCUCCUUCCCCAGCCGUGGAGCUCCCACGCACGAUUCUCUACUCCAUCUCCUAACCGAGCCCCCUCCAGCCACCUCCCUCGGCUUCUUCCUCCCAUCCGACCGCCCCUGCUCAUCUUCCUACCUCCCGCAGCUCCCAGCCGAGCGGUUCUCUCCCCCUGUGCGCCCUUCCUGCUUCCCCUGCUCGGAUUUCUACUUUCCUCCAUGGCCGAACGUCCUCUUCAUCUCUGGUCGACCUCCUCUCGCGCUCGGCUCUUCACCGGCGAGCUCCCUGGUGCCGCGCCCGGCUCCUUGCCCCAGGACCUUGCCGCGCGAGCUUGCCUCUGCUCGGCCGCGCUCACGCCGGCUCCCUGUUCGGCGAUGGAAGACGCGUCGCGCGCCCAAGUUCCUGCGCGUCCCUCUGCCCCUACGUGUGCUCCUAUGUCCAUGCCGCGCUCCCAGUGUCGAGCUCCAGCCGCGUCCCUGUCCCUGUCCAUGGCCGCCGAGUCUCUCUGCGCGCGGCUCGCGCCCUGCACGGAUCCCCUCCCUCUGCCCAGAUCUCGACUUUCGGCCCAGCUCGCUCCAGCUUUGUUGUCGCGCAGGUCACCGGCCUCCGUUUGCCACGCGCAGCUGGCGUUUCUUCUUGACGCGCGCUCCGCCUGCCGUCUCCCUGCGCGCCGUGGUAUCCCGGCUUUUCCUAGCUCGGAGCGCGUUCAGUCCCCAGCUCGCCGUGCCCGGUCGAGCUCUCUGCGCACACGCCGCGCGCAGCUAUGUCCCUAUGCUCGCUGUGGCCGGCCUUGCUUGCUGUCUGUCCACGCGUCGUGCGUGGAGUAAUAAAACAAAAAUCCGUGCGCGUCGGGCUCACGCGCCAAAUCUUUUUCUAACUCGCCAGCGUGCCCUCUCGGCUCGCUCGGCUUUAAAAUUUCUAUCUCGUCGUCGUUCCGCAAGUCACCAAGAAACCCCAGAAUCGGGUGAAGACGAAGCCAGCAGCGUAAUAUUCACCAAGUGCGCGACAAAAAGCUCGAGCCAGGAUUUAUCCGCAUUCGUACGAGUAUUGGGUCGCGUUUGAUGCUGGUACGCUUAUUAAUCGCGCGAUGCGGAAGACAAGCCAAGUCGACCCCAAGCGCGGGCUAAUCCGCAGGAUGAAGCUGAUGGACAAUGGAGCGAGUAUCGGAAUAAAGGCUGAUCGUCAAGCGAACGUCGUCUAACAACACUAACCUAGUGUUACUCAGGUUCUAACCUUGUGCUGUUGUGAUGGUGUUAAGUGCCGGUGGGCUCGGCCUUCUUAUAUAAGUAUACCCCGUCUUUAUCUUCUUAUUGAGGAUGAUCACUUGAGCUAGCA